Molecule: ribosomal RNA, 440 nt
Filed under: uncultured bacterium
Lineage: Bacteria
Description: partial 16S ribosomal RNA
Rfam family: Bacterial small subunit ribosomal RNA
Source: RNAcentral
CCUACGGGUGGCAGCAGUGGGGAAUAUUGCACAAUGGGGGAAACCCUGAUGCAGCGACGCCGCGUGAGGGAUGACGGUCUUCGGAUUGUAAACCUCUGUCUUUAGGGAAGAAAAUGACGGUACCUAACUAGGAAGCUCCGGCUAACUACGUGCCAGCAGCCGCGGUAAUACGUAGGGAGCGAGCGUUAUCCGGAAAUACUGGGUGUAAAGGGAGCGUAGGCGGGCGGGGAAGGCGGAUGUUAAAACUUGGGGGUCAAACGGGGAGCGGCUUUGGAAACUGUUUGGCUUGAGUGUAGUAGAGGCAGGCGGAAUUCCUAGUGUAGCGGUGAAAUGCGUAGAUAUUAGGAGGAACACCAGUGGCGAAGGCGGCCUGCUGGGCUUUAACUGACGCUGAGGCUCGAAAGCGUGGGGAGCAAACAGGAUUAGAUACCCUUGUAGUC